AAUGAACGUUGGCGGCGUGGAUUAGGCAUGCAAGUCGGGCGAGAAAUUUCCUUCGGGAAAUGGACAGCGGCGGAAGGGAGAGGAAUAAGUAGAAAUCUGCCCUCGGGACGGGGAUAGCGGUGGGAAACUGCCGGUAAUACCCGAUAACAUCUUUGGAUCAAAUGGUGUGAUUCCGCCUGAGGAUGAGUCUACUUCCUAUUAGCUAGUUGGUGGGGUAAUGGCCUACCAAGGCAACGAUGGGUAGCGGGUGUGAGAGCACGACCCGCCUCACUGGGACUGAGACACUGCCCAGACACCUACGGGUGGCUGCAGUCGAGAAUCUUCGGCAAUGGGGGAAACCCUGACCGAGCGACGCCGCGUGCGGGAUGAAGGCCCUUGGGUUGUAAACCGCUGUCGUAAGGGAACAAAUCCAUAGGGGUACUCCCCUAUGGUUGAGUGAUCUUAGGAGGAAGGACGGGCUAAGUUCGUG
This 469-nucleotide ribosomal RNA is filed under the name uncultured bacterium. RNAcentral's name for it is "bacterial SSU rRNA". It matches the Rfam family "Bacterial small subunit ribosomal RNA", at positions 29 to 507 of the family's 1533-position model. The record is from RNAcentral.